ACAUACGACCAUAGACUUAAGAGAAUUGGGCAUCCCGUCCGCUCUGCCAUACACAAGCUUAAGAUCGGUGGAUUAGUAGUUGGGUGGGUGACCACCAGCGAAUACCCACUGUUGUAUGUU
This 120-nucleotide ribosomal RNA is filed under the name Pseudogymnoascus sp. VKM F-4281 (FW-2241). Lineage: Eukaryota; Fungi; Ascomycota; Leotiomycetes; Thelebolales; Thelebolaceae. The record is from RNAcentral.